CAGCCGCCGCGGUAAUACGAAGGGGGCUAGCGUUGUUCGGAAUUACUGGGCGUAAAGCGCACGUAGGCGGCUUUGUAAGUCAGAGGUGAAAGCCUGGAGCUUAACUCCAGAAUUGCCUUUGAGACUGCAUCGCUUGAACACGGGAGAGGUGAGUGGAAUUCCGAGUGUAGAGGUGAAAUUCGUAGAUAUUCGGAAGAACACCAGUGGCGAAGGCGGCUCACUGGACCGUUGUUGACGCUGAGGUGCGAAAGCGUGGGGAGCAAACAGGGUUAGAUACCCCAGUAGUCCCUGUCUCUUAUAC
This 301-nucleotide ribosomal RNA is filed under the name uncultured bacterium. RNAcentral describes it as "partial 16S ribosomal RNA". It matches the Rfam family "Bacterial small subunit ribosomal RNA", at positions 509 to 807 of the family's 1533-position model. The record is from RNAcentral.